Molecule: ribosomal RNA, 359 nt
Filed under: Entoloma sp. 179-335
Lineage: Eukaryota; Fungi; Basidiomycota; Agaricomycetes; Agaricales; Entolomataceae
Description: eukaryotic LSU rRNA
Rfam family: 5.8S ribosomal RNA (bases 1-105)
Source: RNAcentral
GAAAUGCGAUAAGUAAUGUGAAUUGCAGAAUUCAGUGAAUCAUCGAAUCUUUGAACGCACCUUGCGCUCCUUGGUAUUCCGAGGAGCAUGCCUGUUUGAGUGUCGUGAUAUUCUCAACCUUACUGGCUUUGUUUGAUACAAGGCCAGUCAGGCUUGGAUUCUGGGAGCUUGCUGGCUCUAUUGAUUCAGCUCUCCUUAAAUACAUUAGCAAGAUCAAUCAGUGACUUUAUUUAUGAUAUGAUAAUUAUCUAUAUCACUAAUAACACUGCAAGGAAAGAUCWAGCUGCUAACUGUCUUUUAAGACAAAUUUCAUUGAACACUUUGACCUCAAAUCAGGUAGGACUACCCGCUGAACUUAA